This 93-nucleotide microRNA precursor is filed under the name Pelobates cultripes (western spadefoot toad). The record is from RNAcentral. Lineage: Eukaryota; Metazoa; Chordata; Amphibia; Anura; Pelobatidae.
AGAUGUUGUAGAACUACAAAUCCCAUGAUGCUUUGUCAUUCUAAAUGCAUUAUAAAGGCAGCAAAGCAUCAUGGGAUUUGUAGUUCUACAACA